GAAAGAGCAUUCUGUCUCCAUUAUUCCAGGCAUGAACCGUGAAUGAAAAAGGGAGGUAGUUGCUAAGUUCUUCUUUAUUUUCCUACUAUCUUUGGUUAAUAAAGUCUUAGAAUGAAUUAGAACUGAGAAAAGAGAAGUUUAGUUGGAGAAAAGUUCAUCCAAAGCCAAAAAUUUCUGGAUAAAUUGCUGCUUAAAGACCAAGAGGACAAAGCUGCUAUUUUCGGUUCUUUUCUUUAAAGUUUUGCUGGAUUUUGUCUAGAUGUACUUAAUAUACCUCCUAUCCUUAUUUUUAUGACAUGCACGUAUUGUUUUACUUGAAUCUAAGUGAGGUUAGUGUUGAAUUUUGAAGGAACUUUGCUAAAAAUUUUCUGGUUAUGUUGAUGCUUGAAGGCUGAUGGAGUAAAGCUGAAAAGUUGCAGCUUUAACUGCAAAAUUUUGCUGGUUUUGGCGAAGAACUCACUUCAUGUACCAUUUACCUCUUUUAUCUAGACAUGUAUGUGGUAUUUGUUGGGAUAGAAGGAAGAAAGACUAAUUGUUGGAAGAAACCUUGCUGAUCUGUUUGAAACUAAGGGAGACAGGAGCUUAUUUUACAGCCUCUUAUUGUGAAAUUUUGAGGAGUUUUCCCUAGGAAGUCAUGCUCUAAAUGUUAUAUUUCUUGUUUAGUAUGAUAUAUAGCAUGAUGCCUUUGAAUUUGGUAGCAAAUGGCUGGCCUAGAUGUGAGUUAUUGGUAGCAAUAAAGUUGGAAUAACUCAAGUGAAAGGUUGGAUUUCGGGUGACAGUCAUCCCUGGGCAGUUUUAGUAAAGUGAUCAUAACUUAGUGUAAAAAAAUCGAAAUUGAGUGCCGUCAAUUGCGUUUGAAACUAGACUAAUAGAUCUUUCUAACGGUAUAAAAUUGAAGCUGUCGCUCAUUUUACAUAUGCACCAGAAAAUCGCCCAAGUUGACUGAAAAAUGCGCCCUGCACAAAUAAAAACUGGGAUGUUGUAGUAAAUUUUGCCUCAAUUUGGACUAAUUUAUGAACCGAAUCUCCUUGAGGUGUUUGUUAAAGAUUGUUAGUAUUUCAAGUCUAGUUUUAAAUGAGCCAAGUUGUAUAAGUUUUUGACAUUUAUAACUCAAGUUAUGAUUUUCCCAAGAAAUAAUGCUUGCUGGAAUUUCAGCAUUGAUUGCUAAAUUUUCAAUACGAUUUUAAGCUCAAUUUGCUCAAAAUACCAUAUAAGACUUUAAACCACAAGUAUGUGCUGGAAAUGAACCAAAACCAUGGACCUUAAGUGGUUUAAACUCCAUUUAGUUCACUGUUUUCAUAGCUGGAAUUCUACUCAAGGCUGACCGAAAGAGAUAGUGAUUUUGUUUAGCUUUACAAUUGGCUUUGUGUGGUGAAAUCAUCUUGUUAAUGUCUUAAACAUAUGAUUAGACAUUAAUUUUGGUAUGAGUAGUGACUUGAAGUAGAAAAUGAAAGGUUGAGAUGUGAAAACUUCACUUUCACAUGUUUCAUGUCCCAAGCGAUAAAUUUCCAGUUUUAGUUGAGGAAAAUGAGUGUUAAUAUGUUAAUAUCAUGUUUAAUAUAAAUGUUAUCCAUGUCAUGUGAUUUUUCUAGCUUGUACAUGUUCUAUUAGUUUGCAUUUGGAAAUUUCAGCUUGUAGAGUUGAACUUUUGCUUGAUGGCCAGCCUUGGUAUGGAGACAUGUGAGUUGAAUACUUGUCUAUUUUUUGUGGCUUUAUGGUCUGAAACUAGUAGCUUGUAUAGCCUAUCAUUUGUGGUCUUGAUUUGGAUGGUUUGGCCAUGAAAUUUUGUAUUGAAUUUGGAGAGGAAAUAUAGGAUAAAACAGGGGUUAUGCUGUCCAAAUUUUGGGGCAGCUUACUACCUUGAUUUUGGACUGAUUUGGUGAUGUACUUGCCUAAUAUGCUUAGUGAACCUUUAAGCUUUGCUUAUGUAUUGCAUUUUGGUUGAAAUGGAAGGGUUUCAUUGGGAUUUUCUUCCAAAUUGCUGGCUAAAAUUGUGCUUGUUUGUCGAUGGAGAGUGCAGCCUAUUACAUUAUUGUUUUUCUAACCUUUUAGUAAUUGGUUUUGGCCAAAACUUGUUCCAAACUUUGGAGGAGCCUUUUGUGCAUGAAUUUGAGUGAAAACUAUGAAAAUUGGGAGGUGAAAACCUCAUGAUUGUACUUGUUUCAUGGCUGUGGGAAAAAUUCUGAUUUGGAGGGCAGUUUUGCACCUUACUACCUUUUAGCCUCAACGUCUUUAGUUUGAAAGUCUUUUGGACACAACCUCGCUGACUUGACUUGAGAAAACCUUGUUUCUUUCAUUGGUUCGCCGCUGAAAAAUUUCCCGCCAUGAAGCGAAUAAGGAACUUGUUGGUUAUUCAUGUUUCUUGAGUCAAAAAUGCUCUCAUACGCUUCAAAACCCUACUUGAGUUUUUGCCCUAGAGUAUACUUAAAUUUUUCCUUGAUUUGCAUUCUAAAUAUGGCUGUGUAUGUUGGGUUUUGAAAAAAAAAAUUAAAUUAACUUGGAGAGAUAUAUAACUCAUAGUCGAGUCUAAAUUAUGAAUUCUGUUCACUUGGUUAUUCUCAGGGCUUGUCUGAUCAAGGGGGCAAUCCAGGAGGAAACUUUUGACGCUAUUUUUGCUUGAACUAGUGAGUGUUGCAACUGCAAGUUCCAUGCUACUUGUUGUGCAAAUAUGACCUGUAUAUGACUUGUUACUUAAAUUGACGUGUUAUUACAUGGGUGAGUGUGUACUUUAUCACACUCGACCUAACUUGACUAAAUUCCUGUUUUACCACUAUAAAUGAAUUGUUUACAAGUGAACUGAGAUUCAUGCGCAUGAGUUGAAAGUAACGGCCUGGAUCCUAAAUCCCAUAGGUUAGUUAAUCAAGUCGAGCCGGCAAGGGCCUGGUCGAUUAGAUAACGAACCCUGGGUCUACUGUUUUGUCGAGUGGAGUGUUAUCUCCUCGACUAAUUGGUAUACUCGAGUAUUACCACCACUGUUUAUGUUUGGAGUUCGGGCCCGGUAGGGGAUUGAUUGGUGGAUGGAGGUUGGAGUUAAGUAGUGAUCUAUUGGACUUGUUAUGAUUCAAUGGUUGACGGAGUGUCAACAGAUUCUGAACAAGUUGUCACGGAACUUGUUCCCGAGAACAGACUGUAUCCUUUUGUAUGUAUGUGUUAUCGGUUGUACAUAGUUAAAUGAGUUGUCCGGAUGUUAUGUUCUUUAUGGAAAAUGUGAUCAUGCUAUCAUGUGAAUGCUAAAAUGCCUAAUUGCUUGUUGUUCUCUUGGAACUUCACUGAGCUUUUAGCUCAUCCCUUCAUUUGUUUUCCUUAACAGGGUACGGGGAUGACAAGGACAAGAAUAGUGCUAGUUGUAAUAGGAAAUCUUAAUCUUGUAUUUGGACGGCACUGUAUUAUGGUAUUAGUUUACAAGUUCUUAUCUUUUGGUCUGUAUUUUGGUUUGUAUAUUCGGAUGAUCGGUAGUAUGUAGAUGUUAUAUUGAAGAAUUUUAGCGUUAUUGAUUUGCUAUCCAAAGAAUAAGGAAUUCAAAAGUUGUAGUCCUU
RNAcentral lists this long non-coding RNA (3536 nucleotides) under Coffea arabica (coffee). RNAcentral describes it as "long non-coding RNA (CARA_LNC005902)". Lineage: Eukaryota; Viridiplantae; Streptophyta; Magnoliopsida; Gentianales; Rubiaceae. The record is from RNAcentral.